GGGUAACCUGCCUGUAAGACUGGGAUAACUCCGGGAAACCGGGGCUAAUACCGGAUGGUUGUUUGAACCGCAUGGUUCAAACAUAAAAGGUGGCUUCGGCUACCACUUACAGAUGGACCCGCGGCGCAUUAGCUAGUUGGUGAGGUAACGGCUCACCAAGGCAACGAUGCGUAGCCGACCUGAGAGGGUGAUCGGCCACACUGGGACUGAGACACGGCCCAGACUCCUACGGGAGGCAGCAGUAGGGAAUCUUCCGCAAUGGACGAAAGUCUGACGGAGCAACGCCGCGUGAGUGAUGAAGGUUUUCGGAUCGUAAAGCUCUGUUGUUAGGGAAGAACAAGUACCGUUCGAAUAGGGCGGUACCUUGACGGUACCUAACCAGAAAGCCACGGCUAACUACGUGCCAGCAGCCGCGGUAAUACGUAGGUGGCAAGCGUUGUCCGGAAUUAUUGGGCGUAAAGGGCUCGCAGGCGGUUUCUUAAGUCUGAUGUGAAAGCCCCCGGCUCAACCGGGGAGGGUCAUUGGAAACUGGGGAACUUGAGUGCAGAAGAGGAGAGUGGAAUUCCACGUGUAGCGGUGAAAUGCGUAGAGAUGUGGAGGAACACCAGUGGCGAAGGCGACUCUCUGGUCUGUAACUGACGCUGAGGAGCGAAAGCGUGGGGAGCG
This 666-nucleotide ribosomal RNA is filed under the name Bacillus sp. 1Caendo83. Its description in RNAcentral is "bacterial SSU rRNA". It matches the Rfam family "Bacterial small subunit ribosomal RNA", at positions 119 to 770 of the family's 1533-position model. The record is from RNAcentral. Lineage: Bacteria; Bacillati; Bacillota; Bacilli; Caryophanales; Bacillaceae.